This 277-nucleotide ribosomal RNA is filed under the name uncultured prokaryote. RNAcentral describes it as "partial 16S ribosomal RNA". It matches the Rfam family "Bacterial small subunit ribosomal RNA", at positions 524 to 801 of the family's 1533-position model. The record is from RNAcentral.
UACGGGGGUGCAAGCGUUAAUCGGAAUUACUGGGCGUAAAGGGUGCGUAGGUGGUUGAUUAAGUUAUCUGUGAAAUCCCCGGGCUUAACCUGGGCAAGUCAGGUAAAACUGGCUGACUCGAGUAUGGGAGAGGGCAGUGGAAUUUCCGGUGUAGCGGUGAAAUGCGUAGAGAUCGGAAGGAACACCAGUGGCGAAGGCGACUGCCUGGCCUAAUACUGACACUGAGGCACGAAAGCGUGGGGAGCAAACAGGAUUAGAUACCCUGGUAGUCCCUGAG